UCCACAGUGGAAUUAGAAAAUUGUUUACCAAAAUAAAUUGUGCUUCUUUGCCUAAGAGAUGUAGCUGUCCAUUACUGGGGGAGGAAAGUAAUUCCUCUCAUCCUUCCUGAGGUUUGGCUGAGUUAUUGCAGUGCAUGAAGUUUGGUUGUAAGUAUGAUAAGGCUCUGUCUAAAGACAAAAUACAGCAAGAGGUACCCUGGAAAACUUACUGCUGGAACUCAAGGAAAAAGCUGUCAGCUGAUGUGUACUCUGGCUGCUGGGUGUCUGGUAGAGCAGAGCUGAGACUAAGAAUAGGGAGUUUGGGGGUGUUUCCUGCGGGCCAGCUGUGGUAUCGUUGCUGGAAAGUCUCAGUUACAAGUGAAGAGCACGGGCUGGAUGAGAAGUGAUGAGUUACUGGUGACUGAUCUCAGCUGAUGGGGGAAAAAAUGACUCCUCAGUGAACUGGGCUCAUUCCCAAAAAAGGAAUCCAUCACUUUGGAAAAGAGAUUAAUGGAGUACAUGGAGCAGCUCUGCUGGCCCCUGGACAGAGGCUUGCACUGGAGCCACCGGAUGAGGCGUUUCGUUGUGUCAUCGUGCGAUUAUUUAUAUCUUCC
Molecule: long non-coding RNA, 593 nt
Organism: Poecile atricapillus (Black-capped chickadee)
Lineage: Eukaryota; Metazoa; Chordata; Aves; Passeriformes; Paridae
Exons: 3
Source: RefSeq, a predicted model, not a curated record